RNAcentral lists this long non-coding RNA (428 nucleotides) under Sipha flava (yellow sugarcane aphid). RNAcentral's name for it is "uncharacterized LOC112684363, transcript variant X1". The record is from RNAcentral. Lineage: Eukaryota; Metazoa; Arthropoda; Insecta; Hemiptera; Aphididae.
UGCUAGUAUAACGUAUCUCUUAUUAACUUUACUGCUAUGAUUGCGCAUCUAAAAUGUGUUUUAUUUCAGUUAUUGAUUGACCAUUUUUUAUUUAUGUUUGUGAUUUCUAAAGUUUAAAGAGUGACGAAGUGUAUUUCAAUACCAAACAACCAACAGUGUAAACAAUAUUAAACUUUUGGACCAACAAACGAAAUAAGAUUCGGACUUAACAGUACAAACAGUCAAGUAUAGAAACAACAGAUGCAUGUACGUCAGCGUCAGUGUAAAUACGGUAUCAGCCCGUAGUUCUUAGUAACGUUUAAACGAGAACAAUAUGACUAACUGUUAAGCGAUUGCGUAUAAAAAACGAAUAAUGGGUCAUCUACCCAACCCAAAGGACAUUUAUGGGCAGCUUUAGCAUAAAGGUUUGGGAAACACUGAAUUAUACA